CCUACGGGAGGUAGCAGUGAGGAAUAUUGGUCAAUGGACGAGAGUCUGAACCAGCCAAGUAGCGUGAAGGAUGACUGCCCUAUGGGUUGUAAACUUCUUUUAUAAAGGAAUAAAACGAGGCACGUGUGCCUUUUUGCAUGUACUUUAUGAAUAAGGAUCGGCUAACUCCGGGCCAGCAGCCGCGGUAAUACGGAGGAUCCGAGCGUUAUCCGGAUUUAUUGGGUUUAAAGGGAGCGUAGAUGGGUUGUUAAGUCAGUUGUGAAAGUUUGCGGCUCAACCGUAAAAUUGCAAUUGAUACUGGCAGUCUAGAGUACAGUUGAGGUAGGCGGAAUGCGUGGUGUAGCGGUGAAAUGCUUAGAUAUCACGAAGAACCCCGAUUGCGAAGGCAGCUUACUAAACUGUGACUGACAUUGAUGCUCGAAAGUGUGGGUAUCAAACAGGAUUAGAUACCCCAGUAGUC
Molecule: ribosomal RNA, 460 nt
Filed under: uncultured bacterium
Lineage: Bacteria
Description: partial 16S ribosomal RNA
Rfam family: Bacterial small subunit ribosomal RNA
Source: RNAcentral